AAGUCGUAACAAGGUUUCCGUAGGUGGACCUGCGGAAGGAUCAUUAUCGAAUGAAAUCAGAGUCGGUUGUCGCUGGCCUCUUCACUGAGGCAUGUGCACGCCUUCUCUAUUCAUCCACACACACCUGUGCACUUGUGAGACGGAUCGACCCUCUCGGGGGACGGUCCGUCUAUUAUACAUAAACUCCAUUAUAUAAAUUUGAAUAUAAUUUGAUGUAACGCAUCUUUAAACUAA
This 234-nucleotide unclassified non-coding RNA is filed under the name plant metagenome. RNAcentral's name for it is "partial contains small subunit ribosomal RNA and internal transcribed spacer 1". The stretch from base 1 to 46 matches the Rfam family "Eukaryotic small subunit ribosomal RNA", at positions 1786 to 1831 of the family's 1831-position model. The record is from RNAcentral.